UUGAACUGUCACAAACAUGUAGUUGUAGGUUAUAGCAUUCUUCUAGAGAAAAGUAUUUCUUCAAUAUUUUUAAAGUAUAGAGUUGUUAUUUUGGUGUAUUUUAGUUAGUUUAGAUGGUAUUGGACACUUUUAGGUUUUAUUAGUACAGAUUGACUUUUUUCCAUUGUCUUUAUUACCGCCACCGGUUAAUAUACAGUUUGGCAUAUCAAGUAUAACAUGACUUUGUCUACAAGCUUAUUCAGUUAUUGGUGUGUCUGUUGUAUUUUCCACAAAGCUACUCAAGAGCUAUCUGCAACAGCCAUAAUUUAGAAAUGAUAUACAGAAUGAAAGGUAGCUAGUGAACACAACCUAACUAACUCUUGGGCUACUCUUUACCCAGGAAAAUUGGAGUGGAUCAUCACAUUGUAACUCCUCCAUAGAUGAAAGGAUGAGCAUGUUUGGAACUUUUAAUGGAAAAGAUACAAGACCUAUUAAAGUUGUCUCAAAAUUACACAUUAAAAAUUGUUUUGACCACUCAGUAAACACUUUCAAGUUAUUUUAACUAUAAAAUAACUUUUCUUGGCAUUAAUUGAUAGGAUUGUUAGGGUAACAAUGAGGUUGGAAAAAGGAGACUCUGGGCAUAUCUGGAAGAUCAAUAAAAUAAUUCUAUGGUGUCCUAAUUGAGUGCAUCCUACAAAAUUACUGUACCAUUGAAUUAAAAGCAUUAUAGAAAAAUAAAUUUGUAAUUGUUCUUCCACACAUUAGAAAAAGAAUAUUUAA
This is a long non-coding RNA of Limulus polyphemus (Atlantic horseshoe crab), 759 nucleotides long. RefSeq lists it as uncharacterized. The transcript is spliced from 3 exons. Lineage: Eukaryota; Metazoa; Arthropoda; Merostomata; Xiphosura; Limulidae. The record is from RefSeq and is a predicted model, not a curated record.